UACGGGAGGCAGCAGUGGGGAAUCUUCCGCAAUGGGCGAAAGCCUGACGGAGCAACGCCGCGUGAGUGAAGAAGGGUUUCGGCUCGUAAAGCUCUGUUGACGGGGACGAACGUGCGGUUUGCAAAUAGUGAACAGCAAUGACGGUACCCGUCGAGGAAGCCACGGCUAACUACGUGCCAGCAGCCGCGGUAAU
Molecule: ribosomal RNA, 193 nt
Filed under: uncultured rumen bacterium
Lineage: Bacteria
Description: partial 16S ribosomal RNA
Rfam family: Bacterial small subunit ribosomal RNA
Source: RNAcentral